AAUGUGCUUGCUUUUGCUAUGAGUUUUUAAAAUGAUUUUUUCGUCACAUAUUUUAAUCUUUCAUUAAUUCUUUUUCGCAGUGCUACUUUCAAUAAAGGUUCUUUUAGUUCUCUCCAUCAUCUCAAGCCUCACCAUUUCAGGACAGUUCUUUUGAGUUCUCUUCAUCUUCUCAUCUAAGUGUUGCGAUUUCAGGUCUUUCACAGUUGCUAGAUCUCACUACUCCCUUGGAAGCAGAACCUACAUCACAAGCUCUCCUUUGUGGAAUUAAUCUGUAGGAAGAGGAUUCCUGCAUUGUAAAUUUUGAUCCUUAAGUACAGUUCUUUCUUCCUUUUCCCCAUUUUCGCUGCCAUUU
Solanum tuberosum (potato) is the source of this 352-nucleotide long non-coding RNA. RefSeq lists it as uncharacterized. The transcript has 3 exons. The record is from RefSeq and is a predicted model, not a curated record. Lineage: Eukaryota; Viridiplantae; Streptophyta; Magnoliopsida; Solanales; Solanaceae.